AGCUCCAAUAGCAUAUAUUAAAGUUGCUGCGGUUAAAAAGCUCGUAGUUGAGUCUCUAGCAAGGUCGACUGAUCCAUCUUCAGGGUGUGAAAUUAGCUUGGCUCCGCUUCUUUCUGGCGAGGUUUGUCUGCACUUCGCUGUGCAGACAGCUGCGCCGAUUAUUACUUUGAGGAAAAUAGAGUUCUUCAAGCAGGCGCACGCCAUGGAUAUGUGAGCAUGGAAUAAGGAUAUAUGCCUCGGCUCAGAUUUUGUUGGUUUCCACUGCUGAGGCAAAGGUUUGUAGGGCCAGUUGGGGGCACUCGUACUUAACUGUCAGAGGUGAAAUUCUUGGAUUUGUUAAAGACGACCCAGUGCGAAAGCAUUUGCCAAGAAUGUUCUCG
Molecule: ribosomal RNA, 380 nt
Filed under: uncultured eukaryote
Lineage: Eukaryota
Description: SSU rRNA
Rfam family: Eukaryotic small subunit ribosomal RNA
Source: RNAcentral